Molecule: long non-coding RNA, 502 nt
Organism: Cucurbita maxima (winter squash)
Lineage: Eukaryota; Viridiplantae; Streptophyta; Magnoliopsida; Cucurbitales; Cucurbitaceae
Exons: 2
Source: RefSeq, a predicted model, not a curated record
GAUCGGAGGUUAGGGUUUUGAAACCAUUUCUUCUCUGGCCGUGAGAAGUGCCGGAAAAUGGCGUUACGGCAGUUCACCGCUCCAAGAAUGUGGCGAAGAGGUCGCUGAAGAAGUAUGUGGAGGAAGCACAGUACAAAAAGCUCCUCACAAAAUGGUUGCUCAAAGAAGAACAUUCGGCAACUCUCAAAAAGCUUCGCGAUAGGAAGCUGUACAAUCCUGCUUUCAAGAAACUAUGGCCAAAAAGGGGCAUGAACAGGACGGUAAGUGAACAAGCCAUACACAUUGAUUCAGUAGCCAAGGUGUGCGGUUGUAUCAGCAAAAAUGGAUUGUUAUGAACAAGACGGUAAGUGAUGAAGCCUUCAAAUUCAAGCCAUACAUAUUGGGACUUUAUCAAGCUUUCUGGUGUGCAGUUGUAUGAGCAUGGAUUGUUAUGGUUUCUCCUUCUAGUAUGAUUCUCUCUACGCAAGUUUGAUCUUGAUAGUAACAUCUAAACGCCCACCUC